This 115-nucleotide ribosomal RNA is filed under the name Sinocyclocheilus rhinocerous. Lineage: Eukaryota; Metazoa; Chordata; Actinopteri; Cypriniformes; Cyprinidae. The record is from RNAcentral.
AAUGGUCAUUAUAACGAAGUUCAAACGACAUAUACAUUAACUGAAGCUAAGCAGGGCUGAGCCUGGUCAGUACCUGGAUGGGAGACCUCCUGGGAAAACUAGGUUGCUGCUGGAA